AUUGAAGGAGCCUCCAUUUGGAUUCUGCCACUGACAGACCAGAAGGAGAUCAUCAGCUCUGGGUCUGCAGGAGGCUUUCUGAACUGAUCCCAGCUCUGGCAGCACCAAAGAGGCAGGAGCAGCCUUCUGACAUUCGAGGGCUGAACCCUCCCCUUUAGGAAGAAGAUGAAGCCAAUAAUCCAGAGAUCACUUGGGACAUAAGUCUUCUGAUUAAAAGACUUCUUUUAGAUCAGAUAUAUAAGACUAUUUCUCACAGCCCUGGCUAAUGCUCUCUUCAUGAGGGCCUUCCUUGAAGGAAGUGAGUAGGCUGCUGUUCUGCAGCUGGAUGUUCUGCUUGAGAGCUAUAAAACCUUUCUUGAUAACAAAUGCUACUUAACUUCAUGUAUUUCUAGGAUAAGUUUUGGAACAGCAGAUUUCAAGCAAUGCACCAUCCAGUUUAGGUAGUAAAUACUAUUGCCAUGGUAUCACCCACAGGCCCUACUUCACUUCUAGCAUGUCCCAACACAGUACAUGGGAGAGACUCCUUUCCUCAUCAGGGGAUCUUCCCUGCAAAUGGAGGAGCAGUCAAAAGGCAUCAGUAACACAAUUUAUAUGACAGCUCCUCUCUAACAAGCUCAGAAUGUUAAUUUGCCAGAACUGGACCCUACUUGCUAUAUUAUUUUGUUAUCUGUCUAAAUUAUUUAGGGAGUCAUUAUGGAACUGAGAAAAGGUUUGGGACUUUGUUUUACAGCACCAAUGCAUAUAUAUAUAUAUAUUUGUCUUCACACACACCUUGUUAGUGAACACUGUUGAAGUUGAAGAGGAGCCUGAUGGAUGUAAUUUUAAUAGCUGGGGCUGAUGCCAACGUUCGGACACUGCUAUUGCAUUUGUACUACGCCUGUCGGGCAGACCUCAGCUGAGUGAAAGCUGACAUGAUGGUUAAACCAGGGCGACCUUGCUUGUGGAGCCCUAUCUGGUGCAAGAGGAAAUAUUCUCUUCCCCUUAUAAAAAGUGAUUCUAGCACAUACUUUCUGGGAUCACAAGGUUGUUUGUGUGUGUCUAUCAGAUCCCUGAAAACUGUGGAUAAGGUGCUUCUUAGGCUGGAGGAAAAUCUUUUUCCACUCUACUUGAUUUUGAGCAAGGAACUGAGAUCAGAUCUGCAUCCUAGGGAAAUGAGCCAGCUUCAAAACUCGUGAAUACUCCACGAUUAGUCUCUAUGUCUCUUCUUCUGGAACUGUACCACCCACUGCAAAGAGGAUGUGAACAUAAACCUGCCAAUUCCAAGGUAGGCAUUCACUGCGUCGGAGAUGGCUGGGCCAAGCAACUUUAGGAGUUCACUGAUGAGAAGUGGGAAUGGAAAUAGAAAGCAUCCACUUCUGUGUGAGUGUUGAGUAGCUGUCUCUGGAUCUGUGCUUGGAAACUUUACCCAUUUCCAACCCCCCCUACUUCUGCAUGACUCUGGCAUUAUAUUAACCU
Molecule: non-coding RNA, 1455 nt
Organism: Anas platyrhynchos (mallard)
Lineage: Eukaryota; Metazoa; Chordata; Aves; Anseriformes; Anatidae
Source: RefSeq, a predicted model, not a curated record